This 553-nucleotide long non-coding RNA is filed under the name Gouania willdenowi (blunt-snouted clingfish). Its description in RNAcentral is "lncRNA (ENSGWIG00000023752.1)". Lineage: Eukaryota; Metazoa; Chordata; Actinopteri; Blenniiformes; Gobiesocidae. The record is from RNAcentral.
CGUCUCGUGAUGUCAUGUUCUUUAAUGUUUAAAAGCCCAAGAGUUCUCCUUGGCUUUUAUCUCAGUCAGGUUCUACCACUGAUAACCUUAGGACUCAGUACAGGCUUAAGGUGAAUCUCUAUUGUAUUAACCAUGCGACCUCAGGAAACCAACAAUGAAGUGACCAAAUUAGGGACUACCUACUACACGGUGAUGGAGAGGGCCCUCUUAACACCCCGUGAAAAAUACAGCGAGCCUAUCACCGAUAGCAUGAACAUUGGAUGGCAUGUCAACAAGGAGAACACAGCAGAGGCUUCAGUUCAAAGGAAAUUUGGAAGGCGGGUCACUGAUGUUACCAGUUUUUCGAGCAAUUUUCCCAUGUGCCGCCAGCAUAGUCCUCCCCCAAGGAAGACCACCGCCGAUCACCCACGCCCCGUCAUGGGGCGGGCCCCCAAAACCAGCACAGACUGGAGGACAGCAGACCCCAAAGCACCAGCCCCACCAGCUACCCAUUACAAUAUGAUGGAGAGGGCCCGCUUAACGCCCCAUGAAAAAUACACCCAGCCUAUCACCA